CGAAGUACAUUUGCGUGAUGCGGUCAUGUAAGUUUCUGAAACACAAACAGAGAAGUGGUACAUUUUCUUAGAACUGGUGCACUGGUGAUGCAGGAGAUAAUUUAAAUGAUUAUAUAAGGCGGUGCUGCUGAAAUGUAUAAAAAUCAAAGUGGCAAGAACCAAGUGUUCUUUGUUCCAGUUUGACUGACUUGAACGUAACAGCGUGUCUCAGCUACACUCUGCUCAUCUCGAGUCUUCGCUCCUCAUUUGCUUCAGAGCAUUUCACCUGCUGUUUCAGACAACCAACUUGUGCAACUGCAGGUUAAACCCACCCCUCAUCAGUGAAACAAAAAUAAGGUAAGUGUCCAGAUUUGGUUUAAUAAAUUACUCAUUUAACAUACAUUUAGCAAGAAUGCUGUGCUGGAUGUCUUUUAGUGCAGGAAAGGUGAUGAGUUUCUUGAGUUGAGUUUUAUUCUUUUUAGAUGUGCAGUACAGCAUUGUUAUUACAGACCAAGCCAAAAUAUAUGAGAGGAAAGCUCUCUGGUAUUUAUGUUUAAGAUGAUUUCAUGUCUCCAUCUGCGUUUUAGUUCUUGCACAUUGUUUCAUUGAGUAAUGUAAAAAUUUCAGGCUGACAAUCAGUGUGUGAAAAGACAAAAUCAAAAUUCUAAUGAGUGUAACUGUAAGACAUUUAGAUUCUACAGCAAUUUGUGGUUGCAUUAAACAAUAACUAAGAUUAUUAAACAAUGGGGACAACUAACAAAGUUAGCUGGUCAUCAGUGUAAUUACACACAAGGCAAGCAGAAACUACCAAGAUAAAUAAAUAAAUAAAUAAAAUAAAAUAAAUACACACGGGGACAUCACUGACAUAAUGCUUUCCCUAGCCGCUUACCCUAAACCUAACCAUAGCCUAAUUGUAACCCUGGCCCUAAAA
Molecule: long non-coding RNA, 910 nt
Filed under: Oreochromis niloticus (Nile tilapia)
Lineage: Eukaryota; Metazoa; Chordata; Actinopteri; Cichliformes; Cichlidae
Description: lncRNA (ENSONIG00000036915.1)
Source: RNAcentral